This 492-nucleotide ribosomal RNA is filed under the name uncultured bacterium. RNAcentral's name for it is "partial 16S ribosomal RNA". It matches the Rfam family "Bacterial small subunit ribosomal RNA", at positions 29 to 507 of the family's 1533-position model. The record is from RNAcentral.
AGUGAACGCUGGCGGUAGGCCUAACACAUGCAAGUCGAACGGCAGCACAGUAAGAGCUUGCUCUUACGGGUGGCGAGUGGCGGACGGGUGAGGAAUACAUCGGAAUCUACUUUUUCGUGGGGGAUAACGUAGGGAAACUUACGCUAAUACCGCAUACGACCUACGGGUGAAAGCAGGGGAUCUUCGGACCUUGCGCGAUUGAAUGAGCCGAUGUCGGAUUAGCUGGUUGGCGGGGUAAAGGCCCACCAAGGCGACGAUCCGUAGCUGGUCUGAGAGGAUGAUCAGCCACACUGGAACUGAGACACGGUCCAGACUCCUACGGGAGGCAGCAGUGGGGAAUAUUGGACAAUGGGCGCAAGCCUGAUCCAGCCAUACCGCGUGGGUGAAGAGGGCCUUCGGGUUGUAAAGCCCUUUUGUUGGGAAAGAAAAGCAGCAGGUUAAUACCCCGCUGUUCUGACGGUACCCAAAGAAUAAGCACCGGCUAACUUCGUG